Molecule: non-coding RNA, 72 nt
Organism: Nematostella vectensis (starlet sea anemone)
Lineage: Eukaryota; Metazoa; Cnidaria; Anthozoa; Actiniaria; Edwardsiidae
Source: Rfam
GGUUCCGUGGCCCAGUGGUUAGCGCGUUUGACUCGUAAGCAAGCGUUCCGGGUUCAAUCCCUGGCCGAGUCU